Long non-coding RNA from Venturia canescens, 1421 nucleotides. RefSeq lists it as uncharacterized. The record is from RefSeq and is a predicted model, not a curated record. The transcript is spliced from 2 exons. Lineage: Eukaryota; Metazoa; Arthropoda; Insecta; Hymenoptera; Ichneumonidae.
UAUCAGUACGACAAAUUCAAAACUCUGGUAUGACAGUUAUUUUUCAUAAAAAUGGCAAAACAUCCAUUGAAAGAGGUGACAAAAUCAUCGCAAAUGGUCAACAACUAGCGGAUGUAUUUACGAAACCACUACCAGCAGUGCAGUUCAUGAAAAUCCGUAAACAAAUAGGCCUGGAAGAAAUCUAAUCUUAGCAUACAUGUUAUACAAUAAUGUUAAUCAUUACUGGUCUGAUUGGGUUUUUAUUUAUUACCACUGGAAAAAUAUUCUACGAACCGUGCGCGCGAUUUUAAAGGGCUGAAAAAAGGUUGAUAAACGGCCAACUUCAAAAAUAUGUACCGGAUUGAAAAAAAAUUGAAAAAGGUUUUAUUAAAGCGCAAAUUAAAGCGACAUAUUUCCCCUUUAAAAUGUCGUGCGCAAAAAUUCGAUAUCUCGUUUUUUGAUAAAACAAUUCAACUUUUGGUGCAUCAAGAAAUUUCAACGAGCGCCCCCAAACUUUUGGCCGGUAGUGUAUAAUCUACAAUUGCAUACUCGAAUAUUUAAACAUUACCACGCUCCUUUCAAUACACAGCCUCUCAAGUGUACUUGAUUUAUGAAAAAUCGCUGUUUUGAAACAGCUGGGAAUUUUUUUUUCCUACGAAUAAAAUGGCUUGAAAUUUUCAGGCAAUGUACCUCAUUCUAAACCCAAACAAGACUGAAAAUUUUUAGAAUGGGUUUUAGCUGGUUUGGUUUAUGGCUUAGUUUUGGCUUGGUUUAUGGCCUUAUCAAUGACUUUUUUAAUUUCACAUAAUGAAUUUACUUUAAUUUUGUAUCAAGUUGUAACGAGAACGAUAUACGCAUAGAGAGAGAAAGAAAGAGAUGAGUAGAGAGAGAUAGAGGUGCGCAAGGAGGGGAGCCGAAAUCUGACGAAGUACCCAGCGUUUCAAAUUUGAGGAGAAACAUGCGAUCUUGGAAUCUGGUAUUUAGUAGUCGAUUGGCCAUCUACGAGAGCGCACGAAAAUUACAAGGGCGCUCGUGCAAGCAAAAUUUCAAAUUGAAACAAAACAAAGGAACAAUUUGUCCAUCCUUCUCUCAAUUCAUCGGGACCCGUCUUAGAUCAAGCUGACAUCAACGAUCUGUCAAAGGAUUUGGAGUCCAUGGGAGGACAUUUUGUUCGUCUUUCAAAGAAUUGAAAUCCUCAUCGAUAUACCAUCGUCCUGCAUAUAUUCAAGAGGGCAAUUUACCGUCGACAUCGAACGCAAAACGCAGGUUGUUACAUCCAUCCAUCUCUCUCUCUCUCUCGAUAGAUCAUUAAUUUAUGAAAAAAUAAGAAUUAGCCAAUGUAACUGGAAAUAAGCGAUUAUCGUACAGAAAAGCAAAGGUGUUAAUAGUACCAGAUCGAAUGAAAAAUGUUAGUUAAUAAAUAAUGAAUCUGUUUAUCAUUA